UGUCCUUUGGAAGGGAUGAGAGACGGUGGCCGAGAGGCUCACAUCAAAAUGGCCGCAUUUUAGUCUACAGACGAUUUUUCUUUACUGUUUGCCAAUAGCCGCGUAAAGGGCCUGGCAGUGUUUCUUAAAGUGGCAAAUCUGUUUCGCUGGAAAUUUCGCCGUUGAAUAACUUGAAAAUUUUCGUGAAAUAGAAUAAACUUCGGUUUUGCAUAAUAUUUUACAUGAUGUUACGCCAUCAACAUCAUACAAUGCAAAACCAACUUCGAGAUCAUAACAGAAUGGGUGGUCCGAUGCGUCCCAUGCAGCAGGCAAAUAUGGCCCCUUUACAUCAGCCGCAGCAUCCGUUAUCGCAUCGGAAUCCACAUCAACCAAUACUGUCCAUGCCCCCCCAUCAACAACAUAUUCAUCAUAUGCAGCACCCUGGACCUCCUCAUGGAAAUCCACGGCAACCAAUGUUGAUGGGCAUGAAUGCGCAUAAUGUGAAUGGUACUAUGGUUAGCGUUAGUUUAAAAGAUCAAGCAAAUACUGUCUCUGUGACUCUACAGAAUCCAAACGUUCAGCCACCACAGUAUCAACUGCAGCAGAAUAAUCAACCAACUCCUCCACCACCACAACAACAUGUUCAUCAAUCGCAAAGUAUAGAACCGAAUAAACCACCAGCAAAUGAUACUAACAAUGGAGAGUCCAGAGAUCAGAAUUCACCUACACAGAAUCACGUUAAUGUGACUGAUUCAGCUUUGGCAAACAUGAAAGAAAAAACACCAAUGUGCUUAUUAAAUGAGUUAGCACGUUUUAAUAAAAUUCAGCAUCAAUAUAGGUUGACUAAUGAACAAGGACCAGCGCACAAGAAACGAUUUACGGUAACAUUGAAGCUAGGACAGGAAGAGUACGUUGCUGAAGGUCCUAGUAUAAAGAAGGCUCAACAUAGUGCUGCGACCGAAGCGCUAACAAAAACAUGGUAUCGAAGGCCUUUACCGAAACCUAGGAAAGCAAUGAGGGUUGGCCAUCCAGGGAAAUGUUUCAGUGGUUCUGGAAAUCUACCGCCAACCGUUGAAUUAAAUGCUUUGGCUAUGAAAAGAGGGGAACCUACUGUUUAUAGUUUUCUAUUGGCUCCAGUACCAGGGUCACAGCCAUAUCUUGCACAUAAUUUAGGGCAUCUUCCUCGAAUAUUUAAUCCACGUUUUCCUACAUACAAUCGUGGUUUUCAUGCUGAGCCUCAAUUGUAUAUUGUAUCAUUAAAGGUAGGAGAACGUGAAUUUAUUGGUAGAGGAAUAACAGGCCAGGCAGCACGACACAAUGCAGCAAGUAAAGCUUUAGAGCAAUUGCGUCAAUUGCCAAUACCGGAAGAAGUAGCGAAUACUUGUACCACCGGUGAGAACGGUACAUUAGGUGAAACUAAGGAUCCGAUUGCUGAAUUGAAAAGCCCUGUUUCAUUGGUCUAUGAGAAAGCAUUGAAACAUGGUUUACCCGUUAGUUUUGAAGUUGUAUCAGAAAUCGGUAAACCUCAUAUACGGACAUUCAGAACAAAAUGUACUGUUGGAGAUAAAGUUACGUUCGGAGAAGGACCUUCAAAGAAAGUAUCUAAAAGACACGCGGCAGAGUUCAUGCUUGAAGAGCUAAGUCGUCUGCCUCCAUUGCCCGAAACUAUUCAAAAUCGUCCAAGGCGAAUGAAACGUAAACCGCCAGCAACGAAAAAAAAGUCACGAAAUCUGAUAAAAGAUUAUCAGGAACCACGAUCUGAAGCCGAGGGUACUGAAGAAGUUAAUCCAGUUUCUCGAUUGGUUCAGAUACAGCAAGCUAAGCGAGAAAAAGAACCUGUUUAUAAUUUGAUCGAAGAAAAAGGUGCAUCAAGACGAAGGGAAUUCGUUAUUGAAGUAACUAUGGGACAACAUUCCGCACAAGGAAUAGGUCCUAACAAGAAGUUAGCUAAAAGAGCCGCAGCAGAGGCUCUUCUAACUCAAUUAGGUUACAGCAAACCACAACCGCAACCCACAAAGCCAUCGAUUAAAACAGGAGAAAGCGAAAAUACCGAACAGAAACCUAGGAAAGUCACUUUCUUAGAAGAUGAACAAAUCAAUGAAACUCAAUCUCAUCAACCAGUGGGAGGAACAAUUGGACGUCAGUUAGUACCUGGACUAUUAUUAGUGGAUGGAGGUCAGGAAUCUAAAUUAGGCAGUGGACCUAGUGUACAGAUUGUUGCUGAAGAACUGCGAGGACAACAGCAACAAAAUCCAGCCACUGUUUCUCCCAAAGAUCAAUUGAAAUAUCUCUCUCAAUUAUUUAACUUCAGCGUGGAAUUCAAUGAUUUUCCUAAGGGAGCAGUAAAUAAGGAAUAUCUGUCGCUUGUAACAUUAAGUACAGAUCCUCCACAAGUGUGUCAUGGUAAUGGACCGACAAGAACUGCAAGCCGUAAUCAAGCUGCGUUGAAAGCUUUGCGUACAUUAAGUAAGCUGGGUCUCGAUAAUGGAUCCAAUUCACAACCGAAAAAGGAUAAAGGUGCGUCUGGAGAUGGCAUACACAUUAGCAUUCAAGUUAAAAACAAUAUAAUGGAUGGAACUAUUGAUAAUUGUUGAAUGAACUAUUCGGAGGGAAAAUGACUCUUCUCAAUCUAUCUCUCUGGGCCUUAUUACACGAUCAGUAGCUUUUUAUGAAGAAUCAGUCUUUUGCAGUGCCUUAAUUGCACGAAGAAAAUGCUCAAGCACCAAUAAAGAUGGAUCACUGAUAAACGUUCAGAAAUAUUUUUCUUCCCUUUUUUUACAAGAAAUAAUCGAUUGCAGUAAUCCUUGGAAGUAGAAUGUCUGUGACGAUUAGAAGUGUGGUAAAAAAACGUAAGUUUCGCUUAUAUAAUUUAAUUUAGUUUUUUGCGCUUGGAAAUAUAGUAUUGUUGAAACGAGAAAAAUUAUUGGUGCUUGAUCAGAAUUGUGAUCCUAACAGUGAUCAUCGAUUCUAUUUAUUAUAACAGUUUCAUUGAUAGGAUCACGAUCAAUGAACGUAAAUUGUUUCAAUUUCGUAAUUGAAAUGAUCAUUUUCCAAAUAUCGUGGUUUAUGAUCAUGAAAACAUCGUAGAAACAACAUUAAGUGAGAAUAUUGAAAUCUGAGAUGAAAUGCGGCCAUCUCUUAAUUUCUCUAUUUAAUCCUUGGCUUUCUCAUUUCUUGCGAAUAGAAUGUCUGUUAUAUCUUAUUACCUAAUACGAGCACGCACCGAUCAGCGAAAUAAUUCAUGGAUCUAAGAAUGACUUAAACGUGAGUCAUCUUAUCGUGUACCAGAAUAUUUCGUCGUUUUAAACUUUCAAUGAUGAUUGUGUUAAAAUUGUGUAUAACAAUUGAUACAAAAAAUGCGCAUCUCUUCAAAACAAGAGCUAGAAGUUUCAGAGAGUUACGUGUAUUAAGCGUCUUCAACUGAGUAAUUAAUUGUUUAUAAUUUGUAACAAAGAUAUAAACAGGUCAAUACUUUUGACCUUUAUCUCUUUGUUCAUUGAUAAUGCUAUAAUCUUAAUUGAAAUAUUAAGAGUAAAUAAGUGACAAAACAUGCGAUAAAAAUUUAGAAACUGGUUGGAGACUCUUUGAACGUAAUCAAUUAUAGAUUAACAAAUUUCUGUUUUCAAAUUUGUAACAUUGAAAAAAGGUAACGUGAUACGUUCAUAUUACUGCCCCAAUUUGCUUUUCUACGGGGCCUAGAAGCACUCUGGGGUCAUAUUCGUGUUUUACAAGGUAUUGAGAAGUAAAGGACAUUCAAAUUUUCAUACAUCCGUUAUCCAGAAGAGAGAGAAAAAAAGAAAAAAAAAAGAAAAAACUUACAGAUAAUAUGGAUGUAUUGGAAAUUGUAGUCAAGGCGGUAAUAAUUCAAAAUUUGUCCCGUUGCGACACGAUUAUUAAGAAGGCACAAUUUGAUUUUAUCCUAAUCAAGAAAACGAUAAAACAACGUUGUCGAAUUUUGUCUUAUUGCCGACAAUUUAUAACGAUACUAAGAUAAUGCUGGAGAAAAGAGGAGUAUCCGAUAAUGAAUGAAGAUAAUGUUAAGAGAUAGAUUUCGUUUCAUCUUCGCUUAAAAACAAGGAAGAAUACGAUAUCGUAUUUCUUUAAAAAAAAGGCUUAUCUUACAUUCAUUAUCCUCAUUACAUUAUUCAAUAGGAUUUUUUGAAUGUUAACGAACCGUAAAAAAACGUAUACAAACGAUUGUUAAAUUUCAGUAAUAUAUAAUCAUAGAGAUAUAAGAAUUGAAUGUGUGAACGGGCUGAAAAAGUGAUACAUAUAGGAGUAGAAAAAGAACGCUGUUUAUGGAUUUCUUUUGUGUCUUCGUCACAUAAUGAUGCUCAUUGCGUUACAUUGUGCAAUUCAAAGUUAAAUUUAUUAUUUAUGUAAUUCACGUUUCAUUAAACUGUGGAGCGUUUCUACUCUGUAGAGAUUCGUAAUCGUCGCCAAUGAACGAGUGUGCAUGUGUAAUUAAACAGGAACAUAAGAAGACCACACACAGUGUCCCUUUUCUAGCAUAUGAUUCGCACAUUCUGUUCUUAUAUUUCUAUGUGUAUAUGAUUGAUUGCUUACCCCACAAUCUGUAAAGAAAGAGAAGGAUUGCCUGUAUUAUUAUAAAUACUUUUUUUCUUUCAGAUAACCUUUCGUAACGCGAUACCUUCCGAAAUAAUUUAUAGGUUGCUCGAGGACGAGUUAAUGAAUGUUCCUUUUUCUGAGAUAUCGCUUCAUAGGUGGGCCUUCCUUCUUCACGUGGGAUUCACUGUUCCGAAUAAAAGAAAUAAAUGGAAAAAAUACUAACGACAGCAUGUUUCUCAUAGUUUGUUUAUUUUUUAUUUUUUAUUUUAUUUUCAAUAAAAUGAAACAUGAAUCCUACGAAGAUGUAACCCUGUUGCAGGACCUAUUUUAUCCGCGUAAACUGUAAUACAAUAGUUAGUCGUAACAAUAAGUGAAUAAAGUAUUAAUUACUAAGAUGUGUGAGAUGGAAGUAUCUCGAAGGAAUAUGGAAAUAAAUGUGAUUCCGAGAGAUAACAAAUAAUAAAAGAAGAGGUCAUGUUCUAAA
This 5032-nucleotide unclassified non-coding RNA is filed under the name Megachile rotundata (alfalfa leafcutting bee). RNAcentral describes it as "double-stranded RNA-binding protein Staufen homolog 2, transcript variant X5". Lineage: Eukaryota; Metazoa; Arthropoda; Insecta; Hymenoptera; Megachilidae. The record is from RNAcentral.